Long non-coding RNA from Manis pentadactyla (Chinese pangolin), 257 nucleotides. RefSeq lists it as uncharacterized. NCBI's taxonomy places the organism in Eukaryota, Metazoa, Chordata, Mammalia, Pholidota, Manidae. The record is from RefSeq and is a predicted model, not a curated record. The transcript has 3 exons.
GCCAAGAGAAGGGAUUCUCAGGCAUCACACAACUGGUGGCCAUCAGGCCCACACACAGCAUGCCACACGGAUGCAGCUGAGGGACGUGGGUCUGACUGCUGGUGCCACUGCAUCCUAACUCUGGGACUUUGGCGAAUUCAUAGUGAACUUGCUCGAAGCAGGCAACCCCCUCUUCCCGAAGCAACACACCUUCACCCAGAAUAGAGCUUCUGCAACACAAGCUGGAGGGGGGAAGAGGAACUAGUGACCUGCUCCUC